CCCCCCGCCCCGGCCCGUCUCCCUAGGGGAUUAGUUUGUCCGUAAAGAAAGAAGGAACAGCUCAUUCUGUUUCCUGCUGAGGUGGUGAAUUCUUUGCUUUCUCCACUCUUCCAGAAGGGACUGUAAGCAAGAUGGAUUUACUUUUCUUUAAAAAAAAAAAAAAAGAAAUUUCUGGCUGAUGACUCAGAGAGCAGGGCCUGCCGAGGCUGGUUGGGGGGAGAGUGGGGGGAAUCUGGGGGCUUUGUAAGGUGCAGCGGCCCUCUUCUCCGCCUGAAUGUGGGAGAAGGGAGACCUUGUCCUCACCCGUCAGCUUCUGUGGAAGUCGAAGGAAAACCAUUUUCCUGGUGAUGACUGUUUGAAUCCGGGUUCCCUGACGUUGAAUUGCAGCCCAACCGAUAUUGUAUGGCUUCUUCUCCAAGCCCAGACUCGUAGGUUUGUAAAGACUGUCCCCAAAUAGCUGAGCCAAAAGGCUCAAAGGAAUUCACGUUGCGCGGUGUGGCAGUUAAACACUACCUUGAUCACCCUUUCCUGUUUUCUUGAGGAGAGACCAGAGGGUAUAUAUAGUAUUUGUGAGAGUUCUCCCCUGCUCCCCGAGUGAAUCCACUCCCCGCCAGCUCUGGAAGACACCCCAGAAACACUUUGUUUUCUGUUGCGGUGUAUUCAGAAGCCUCUUUCUGAUUAAAGAUCCCUUUUGUUUGGCUGAGAGACCCUGCCCCGAGGUAGGUUCCUCUUUGUCUCUGGUUUCACCAGGGAUUUUCCCAUGUCCCUCCAAGGCCGCAGGGCUGGGCUGGCGGAGAGAACAGACUGAAAGGUAGGUGGCAGCUUCCCCCAUUGUGAGAGGGCGUUGAGUGGUCCCCAAAGGGUCCACUGGCUCACCUGCCCCUUUGGGGACCAUCUGGUCUCCUUCCUGAGGUGACAAGUAGGACUCUUCAGUCAGUGCAGGAGACUAAUGGUCCAGUCAGUGUGAUGGGGAGGGUCACUUUGAUAACGGUGUCACCUUCCCAGAUACCUGCUGAGCGCCGUUUCUGCCUGCCUGCCGGCAGGAUGCAGGAAGUUAGAAUCCUGAGGAGGUCACGUGAGGGGGACCGGGGUUGAUUUAGCAGCUGCUGGCGCUUCUGGAGACCUCAGGAAUGGAGGGGAGCCCGGACUGCGAUGCUUGGGAGAAUGCAUCCUGAGCGACGUCCUCGUUGUUGCAGUCAGCCCGCGCGGCUCGACUUCUUGGAGGACAUAAUGAAUUUGGAUGUGGAAACUCCGAUUCGUUUGAAGAAAUCUGUCCUGUUACUUUCUGGUCCUCCCAGGUUCUGACUUUACCAGGGGCAAAUAAAAAAAAAAAAAAAGGAGAAGAGGGAGACAAAUCCCAUCUGUGAACUUGUCUUCUUGGCGCCUUUCCCCCCAGCUGUCUUCCAAGUAUUAUUUUUACUGUCAAAAAAUUUUUUUAAAAAUGUGAAAUGUAAUGUUUUUACAGCAACAAUAUGAAAUAUAUUUUAUAAGGAAUAAAAUGGUACAUUGUCUGA
Lagenorhynchus albirostris (white-beaked dolphin) is the source of this 1514-nucleotide long non-coding RNA. RefSeq lists it as uncharacterized. NCBI's taxonomy places the organism in Eukaryota, Metazoa, Chordata, Mammalia, Artiodactyla, Delphinidae. The record is from RefSeq and is a predicted model, not a curated record. The transcript is spliced from 2 exons.